Molecule: microRNA, 24 nt
Filed under: Sorghum bicolor (sorghum)
Lineage: Eukaryota; Viridiplantae; Streptophyta; Magnoliopsida; Poales; Poaceae
Description: sbi-miR5565g-5p
Source: miRBase by way of RNAcentral
UUCACAUCAAUCCACAUAUGUUGG